RNAcentral lists this unclassified non-coding RNA (926 nucleotides) under Hevea brasiliensis (rubber tree). Lineage: Eukaryota; Viridiplantae; Streptophyta; Magnoliopsida; Malpighiales; Euphorbiaceae. The record is from RNAcentral.
GUGUGUGUGUGUGUGUGUGUAUAAUUCAUUUUUAUGUAAGUAUUACGAUUGGUACCCCCUAAACAAUACGAUCUGAAGUAGAUGGGAAUCUCAAAUUUCUUUAAUCUAUAGAACACAAGGUUAGUUUACUCUUUCUGUGGCAUUGUAGGCUAAUCUUGCUUAUUGUGUCCACUUUAUUAUUGUUAUUAUUAAGCUAAUGUAAGUCUCUAUUAAAUUUGUGUCAUUGUGUGCUUGUUAGGCCCUUUUACCUCACUUUAAAAAGAAUCUUGCGGUGUUCAUUUUGAAUACCAUAUUGGUGGAUAUAUCCCCUUUUUUACACAUCAAUAAUUGUGAUAUCUCUUCCCUUGCUUCCCAUGUAUAAUUAGCUCUCUAAGUGAAUCCUCAAUGAUGCUUACAUGGAGUUUUUGAAGUCUGCAAGGGUCUCUGAACUGUUUCUUUAGGCACUUGGAGUUUACCAACUCCAACAUCUGGACCAUAUAGUUAUAUUGAAGAGGUUUAAGACGAAAAUUGUUGCAUGCAAUAAUGAAAGUACUAAAGAGUUUUGGAUUUCAUCUGAACACUUGGUUUUACUUGCUUGUUGCCCUGUUUAUGGCUGACAUUGUUAAAUUUUAUAUUGUAGGUAUGGAAGCUUAGAUAUCAAUAUUUUUCACUUUCACUUUUGAUGCUUAUCUAUAGAAUUUCUUCUGGAUUUAAUCUCACUAGGUUCUAUCCCUUAUUUGCUGUCAACGUGGUGCAGGAGCAACAAACAGCAAUAGCAUGGGUUAAUUUCAGGUCUUUUAUCUUGGAUUCAUAUAACUUGAAAAUUCAUACUAGAAUAUGGUGCUCUCUUCUUGGUGUUUGGGUAUGGUUCUCAAACAACCCUUAGUGCUUCUCUCUGGUGAGGGAUUCUGGUUAACGAAUUAAGAGUUCCCACAUUCAGUAUUUUA